AAACUCUGUCCUUGGUGAAGAAAGAAAUGACGGUAGCCAAGGAGGAAGCCCCGGCUAACUACGUGCCAGCAGCCGCGGUAAUACGUAGGGGGCGAGCGUUGUCCGGAUUUACUGGGCGUAAAGGGUGAGUAGGCGGUAAUAUGUGUCAGGUGUAAAAGGCUAUGGCUUAACCAUAGUUAGCAUUUGAAACUGUAUUACUUGAGUGCAGGAGAGGUAAGUGGAAUUCCUAGUGUAGCGGUGAAAUGCGUAGAUAUUAGGAGGAACACCAGUGGCGAAGGCGACUUACUGGACUGUAACUGACGCUGAGUCACGAAAGCGUGGGUAGCAAACAGGAUUAGAUACCCUGGUAGUCCACGCUGUAAACGAUGAGUGCUAGGUGUUGGGUAGCGAUAUUCAGUGCCGAAGUUAACACAAUAAGCACUCCGCCUGGGGAGUACGGUCGCAAGACUGAAACUCAAAGGAAUUGACGG
This 470-nucleotide ribosomal RNA is filed under the name uncultured bacterium. RNAcentral describes it as "bacterial SSU rRNA". It matches the Rfam family "Bacterial small subunit ribosomal RNA", at positions 428 to 916 of the family's 1533-position model. The record is from RNAcentral.